This 253-nucleotide ribosomal RNA is filed under the name uncultured bacterium. RNAcentral describes it as "partial 16S ribosomal RNA". It matches the Rfam family "Bacterial small subunit ribosomal RNA", at positions 524 to 776 of the family's 1533-position model. The record is from RNAcentral.
UACGUAGGGUGCGAGCGUUAAUCGGCAUUACUGGGCGUAAAGCGUGCGCAGGCGGUUUUGUAAGUCUGACGUGAAAUCCCCGGGCUCAACCUGGGAAUGGCGUUGGAGACUGCAAGGCUGGAAUCUGGCAGAGGGGGGUAGAAUUCCACGUGUAGCAGUGAAAUGCGUAGAGAUGUGGAGGAACACCGAUGGCGAAGGCAGCCCCCUGGGUCAAGAUUGACGCUCAUGCACGAAAGCGUGGGGAGCAAACAGG